RNAcentral lists this long non-coding RNA (363 nucleotides) under Phoenix dactylifera (date palm). Its description in RNAcentral is "long non-coding RNA (PDAC_LNC018739)". Lineage: Eukaryota; Viridiplantae; Streptophyta; Magnoliopsida; Arecales; Arecaceae. The record is from RNAcentral.
AUCAAGAUAAUCCCUAUGAGUCCCACCAUCCACCAGUGACACCUAGCAGCAUGUAGUGGCCACCCAGCAGAAUGGAAUGAUGAACCUCUAGGUGCAGUUAACGUGUGAUACAGUCCUACUAUCGUGGAUCCCUACAGGACGGAGGUCAUGGACAACUCGUCAAACCCCAUCGUCUGUCAUAUGUCAAGAUUUAUUCGACUCGAGUUCGAUAGUGGAAAACUCUUUUUCCACUUUAUAUUACUGCCCUGGCCAAGGUCUUAGAACUCAGUCUAAUAAAUCACAUAGGAUCACUCCUCUUCUAUCAAGAUCGAUAGAUUCCUUAUAGGUGCAUACCCUACUCCUACAGUGAACCUACUGCAGCCA